Molecule: ribosomal RNA, 486 nt
Filed under: uncultured bacterium
Lineage: Bacteria
Description: partial 16S ribosomal RNA
Rfam family: Bacterial small subunit ribosomal RNA
Source: RNAcentral
AUUGAACGCUGGCGGCAUGCCUUACACAUGCAAGUCGAACGGCAGCACGGGUGCUUGCACCUGGUGGCGAGUGGCGAACGGGUGAGUAAUACAUCGGAACAUGUCCUGUAGCGGGGGAUAGCCCGGCGAAAGCCGGAUUAAUACCGCAUACGAUCUACGGAUGAAAGCGGGGGACCUUCGGGCCUCGCGCUAUAGGGUUGGCCGAUGGCUGAUUAGCUAGUUGGUGGGGUAAAGGCCUACCAAGGCGACGAUCAGUAGCCGGUCUGAGAGGACGACCAGCCACACUGGGACUGAGACACGGCCCAGACUCCUACGGGAGGCAGCAGUGGGGAAUUUUGGACAAUGGGCGAAAGCCUGAUCCAGCAAUGCCGCGUGUGUGAAGAAGGCCUUCGGGUUGUAAAGCACUUUUGUCCGGAAAGAAAUCCUUGGCCCUAAUACGGUCGGGGGAUGACGGUACCGGAAGAAUAAGCACCGGCUAACUACGUG